UGCCAUCAUUUAGUUGGGCACUCUAGCGAGACUGCCGGUGACAAACCGGAGGAAGGUGGGGAUGACGUCAAAUCAUCAUGCCCCUUAUGACCUGGGCUACACACGUGCUACAAUGGGAAGUACAACGAGUCGCUAGACCGCGAGGUCAUGCAAAUCUCUUAAAGCUUCUCUCAGUUCGGAUUGCAGGCUGCAACUCGCCUGCAUGAAGCCGGAAUCGCUAGUAAUCGCGGAUCAGCACGCCGCGGUGAAUACGUUCCCGGGCCUUGUACACACCGCCCGUCACACCACGAGAGUUUGUAACACCCGAAGUCGGUGAGGUAACCUUUUUGGAGCCAGCCGCCUAAGGUGGGAUAGAUGAUUGGGGUGAAGUCGUAACAAGGUAGCCGUAUCGGAAGGUGCGGCUGGAUCACCUCCUUU
This 417-nucleotide ribosomal RNA is filed under the name Enterococcus faecalis. RNAcentral's name for it is "bacterial SSU rRNA". It matches the Rfam family "Bacterial small subunit ribosomal RNA", at positions 1116 to 1533 of the family's 1533-position model. The record is from RNAcentral. Lineage: Bacteria; Bacillati; Bacillota; Bacilli; Lactobacillales; Enterococcaceae.